UGUGCCAGCAGCCGCGGUAAUACAGAGGGUGCAAGCGUUAAUCGGAUUUACUGGGCGUAAAGCGUGCGUAGGCGGCUAAUUAAGUCGGAUGUGAAAUCCCCGAGCUCAACUUGGGAAUUGCAUUCGAUACUGGUUAGCUAGAGUAUGGGAGAGGAUGGUAGAAUUCCAGGUGUAGCGGUGAAAUGCGUAGAGAUCUGGAGGAAUACCGAUGGCGAAGGCAGCCAUCUGGCCUAAUACUGACGCUGAGGUACGAAAGCAUGGGGAGCAAACAGGAUUAGAUUCCCUGGUCGUCCAUGCCGUAAACGAUGUCUACUCGCCGUUGGGGCCUUUUGAGGCUUUAGUGGCGCAGCUAACGCGAUAAGUAGACCGCGUGGGGAGUACGGUCGCAAGACUAAAACUCAAAUGAAUUGACGGGGGCCCGCACAAGCGGUGGAGCAUGUGGUUUAAUUCGAUGCAACGCGAAGAACCUUACCUGGUUUUGACAUAGUAAGAACUUUCCAGAGAUGGAUUGGUGCCUUCGGGAACUUACAUACAGGUGCUGCAUGGCUGUCGUCAGCUCGUGUCGUGAGAUGUUGGGUUAAGUCCCGCAACGAGCGCAACCCUUUUCCUUAUUUGCCAGCGGGUUAAGCCGGGAACUUUAAUGAUACUGCCAGUGACAAACUGGAGGAAGGCGGGGACGACGUCAAGUCAUCAUGGCCCUUACGACCAGGGCUACACACGUGCUACAAUGGUCGGUACAAAGGGUUGCUACAUAGCGAUAUGAUGCUAAUCUCAAAAAGCCGAUCGUAGUCCGGAUUGGAGUCUGCAACUCGACUCCAUGAAGUCGGAAUCGCUAGUAGUCGCGGAUCAGAAUGCCGCGGUGAAUACGUUCCCGGGCCUUGUACACACCGCCCGUCACACCAUGGGAGUUUGUUGCACCAGAAGUGGGUAGGAUAACCGUAAGGAGUCCGCUCACCACGGUGUGGCCAAUGACUGGGGUGAAGUCGUAACAAGGUAACCGA
RNAcentral lists this ribosomal RNA (1001 nucleotides) under uncultured bacterium. Its description in RNAcentral is "bacterial SSU rRNA". It matches the Rfam family "Bacterial small subunit ribosomal RNA", at positions 504 to 1503 of the family's 1533-position model. The record is from RNAcentral.